Molecule: ribosomal RNA, 399 nt
Filed under: uncultured bacterium
Lineage: Bacteria
Description: partial 16S ribosomal RNA
Rfam family: Bacterial small subunit ribosomal RNA
Source: RNAcentral
AAUAUUGUACAAUGGGCGCAAGCCUGAUCCAGCCUUGCCGCGUGAGUGAUGAAGGCCCUAGUGUUGUUAAUCUCUUUUGUCUGGGACGAUAAUGACGGUUCCGGAUUAAUAAGCCCCGGCCUACUUCUUGCCUGCCGCCGUGGUAAUACGAAGUGUGCUUGCGUUGCUCGGUAUUACUGGGCGUAAAGGGCUCGUAGGCGGUCGUUUAAGUCAGGGGUAAAAUCCCGGGGCUCAACCUCGGAAUUGCCUUUGAUACUGGAUGUCUCGAGACCGGAAGAGGUAAGUGGAACUGCGAGUGUAGAGGUGAAAUUCGUAGAUAUUCGCAAGAACACCAGUGGCGAAGGCGGCUUACUGGUCCGGUUCUGACGCUGAGGCGCGAAAGCGUGGGGAGCAAACAGG